GUGUCAGCAGCCGCGGUAAUACGUAGGUGGCAAGCGUUGUCCGGAUUUACUGGGCGUAAAGAGCGCGCAGGCGGUCGGAUAAGUCGAAUGUGAAAGCCCCUGGCUCAACCAGGGAGGGUCAUUCGAUACUGUUCGACUCGAAGGCAGGAGAGGGAAGCGGAAUUCCCGGUGUAGUGGUGAAAUGCGUAGAUAUCGGGAGGAACACCAGUGGCGAAGGCGGCUUUCUGGCCUGUUCUUGACGCUGAGGCGCGAAAGCUAGGGGAGCAAACGGGAUUAGAAACCCUUGUAGUCC
RNAcentral lists this ribosomal RNA (292 nucleotides) under uncultured bacterium. RNAcentral describes it as "partial 16S ribosomal RNA". It matches the Rfam family "Bacterial small subunit ribosomal RNA", at positions 505 to 796 of the family's 1533-position model. The record is from RNAcentral.